Molecule: non-coding RNA, 21 nt
Filed under: Caenorhabditis elegans
Lineage: Eukaryota; Metazoa; Nematoda; Chromadorea; Rhabditida; Rhabditidae
Source: RNAcentral
CGUUGAACUGUUGCUCCGACA